This is an RNA transcript of Myxocyprinus asiaticus (Chinese sucker), 2804 nucleotides long. It is a transcript of the gene named F-box only protein 25-like, with no coding region annotated. The transcript has 12 exons. Lineage: Eukaryota; Metazoa; Chordata; Actinopteri; Cypriniformes; Catostomidae. The record is from RefSeq and is a predicted model, not a curated record.
ACAAGAUGAAUGCAAACACGACGACCAAUCACAAACGCCAGGGGGCGUGUCUUACAUUCCGCUGUUCUAACUGUUUACUUCCGUCAAUACUCAAAGAAAAGCAGAAAAUUAUCAGCAUAACAAAGGAACCGCUAUCUCUGGAACAGGUGGAAGAAGAUGCCGUUCUUGGGCCAAGACUGGAGGUCACCAGGCUGGAGUUGGAUCAAAACUGAGGAUGGAUGGAAGCGCUUUGAAUACUUCGGCCACAAUUUGGGAGAUAAUAUCAAUGAAUUUGGCUUGGAAGAGUUAGACAAUGACAACAAGGAAAACAUCUAUGUGGGAGAUGUCUGUGAAGUAGCUGCCGAGAAGAGAAAAAAGGACUUUUUCAACAACAACACAAAAUCAGAAUUUUUGUUCCAGGAGAGAUGGAUCUACGUUCAGAAGGAGAGUACUAGAGAGAGACAUGGGUACUGCACACUGGGUGAGGCCUUUAAUCGUCUGGACUUUUCCAGUGCCAUUCAGGAUGUGCGGCGAUUCAACUAUGUGGUCAAACUACUGCAGUUGAUUGCUAAGUCCCAGCUGACGUCUUUGAGCGGAGCUGCUCAGAAAAACUAUUUUAAUGUCCUGGAGAAGAUCGUGAGGAAAGUUCUGGAUGACCAUCAGAACCCGCGAUUGAUCAAGGCUUUGCUGGACGAUCUUAGCUCCACCCUCUGCAUCCUCAUGCGAGAGGUCGGGAAGUCUGUGCUGGUUGGCAACAUCAACAUUUGGGUCUGCCGUUUAGAAACUAUCCUAAACUGGCAGCAGCAGCUCAACAAUUUACAAAUUCCAAAGCAAGUUUCAAAUGGGAUGACACUGAGUGACCUUCCUCUGCACAUGCAAAGCAACAUCCUGAACAAGUUUACUGAUGCUUGUGACAUCAUUAACCUGGGACAAGCCACACCAACAUUGCACAUGCUCAGCGAGGACCGGCAACUGUGGAAGAAACUGUGCCAGUUUCAUUUUGCUGAGAAACAGUUCUGCAGGCACUUGAUUCUAUCAGAGAAGGGCCAUGUGGACUGGAAGCUGAUGUUCUUCACACUUCAGAAAUACUACCCCCAGAAAGAACAGUAUGGAGACACUCUGCAGUUUUGCAAGCACUGUAGCAUCCUCUUCUGGAAUGAUAGACACCUGGCUUUGCUCUUUAAGAAACUAGGAAUUUCCAGCUUUCUGCUUGGAAAAGUGCAAUUAAACACCACUUGAAGCCAUUCAUCCAACUUAGAAACUCGUGUGGAAAUCCUCUACUCCAAUUUCACCAAGAUGCCAGUGCAUAAUGUCACACAAACAUGUCGGUACCCAGGACUCAGGACAUCCUUGCACAGCUAACGAUCCUGACAUCUGCCUCACCCCCGUCUCUCCACAACAUUUCAUAGACCUCUUCAAGUUCUGAAAUUCAGAAUGUUCUUGGACCUCUCACCCUGUCCUCGGGAACACCUGCAAACAACACCUCUAACCAAGAUUUUGAACCUGAUAAAACAUUCUCCUAACCCAUCUCCUUUUUUUCUCUCUGGGCUCCAGACUAGCCUGUCGUCUCCUCUAUUUUCCUCUGUUAUGUUUCUUGGACUGCCAUUCUGUGAUUAAAAAGUGGGAGAGUUGGAACUUUUGACAUUAUAAUGAAUGAAUUCAUUUUCUUUUUCCUCUCCUAAACUUUAAGGGCUCAUAGAAAAGAUGUCACGAUAUUAGUGUUUCUUUCGUGUUGUCCUAUUUUUUGUUUCGUUAUUUUAUUCUCAGAGCAUAAAAGAGGCAGGAGAUAGGAAGGAUUGUUUGUCUAUAAUAGACAAUAGCAAAACAAACUUGCUUUCGUGAGAGAUGUGUUGAAAUGAAAAAGCAUGGGAGAUCCUAAGGGAAGGCUAUCUUGUCAUAUAUAUAUACAGUACUGUGCAAAAGUCUCAGGCACAUAAGAUGUUUCACAAAAGCAUUUGUCUUAAGAUGGUUAUUUAUAUCUUCAACUUUAGCGUGUCAAUAGGAAUUAUAAAUGUUAGACUCCCAAACAUUACUUUUGCAAAUAGAAAAGAUUAGAAUAGAAGAACAGAGAGCCCUGCAACAGAUGUCAUGGCCCCCACAGAGCCCCCCACUGAACAUCGAGUCAGUCUGAGAUUACAUAAAGAGACAGAAGCAAUUUAGACAGCCGAAGUAGAUAGAAGAAUUGUGGCAAUUUCCCCAAGAAGCUUGGAACAUCCUAUCUGCCAACAACCAAGAAAAACUGUGUUCAGGUGUACCUAGGAGAUUUGUUGCUGUUUUAAAGGCAUGGGUGGUCACACCGAAUAUUGACUUAGCUUUUUUAUGUUUACUGGGCUUUGUAUGAUAAUUGAUAAAUGAAAACUAUUUAUGGCAUUAUUUUUGAAGACAUCCUCACUAUGCAGCAUUUUUCACAGGUGCCUAAAACUUUUGCACAGUACUGUAUAUAUGUAUUUUUGUUUCUGAAGCAAUGGAAUGCAUGUCCAAAGUAGUUGUAGUUCAAUGUUUACGUGAGUUUUCGUACUGUUUUGUUGUGCUGUGCGUACAUAAUUGAUGCGUCAACACUAAAGUGUACAUUUGCAUUGCAUUUGCUACAAGAAAAGACUUUUUUACGAUACACUUUUGUCAAAUCUGAAAAAUGUAAUGUAAGCUUUGCUAUUUAUGAACAAAUGUAUUUUAUAUCCUUUUUCUGAAAUUUGUAAUAUUCCUGUAACAUUUCAGUAAUAUAAAUGUCUUUGAAAUUGCUGAACUGUAGGAAGUGUUUGGUACUAUCAAACAUUUGCAAAAAAAAACAAAAAAACAUGAUUACCUAAAAUAAUUAAAACAUUAUG